RNAcentral lists this ribosomal RNA (440 nucleotides) under uncultured bacterium. RNAcentral describes it as "partial 16S ribosomal RNA". It matches the Rfam family "Bacterial small subunit ribosomal RNA", at positions 338 to 795 of the family's 1533-position model. The record is from RNAcentral.
CCUACGGGAGGCUGCAGUGGGGAAUAUUGCACAAUGGGGGAAACCCUGAUGCAGCGACGCCGCGUGAGUGAAGAAGGUUUUCGGUAUGUAAAGCUCUAUCAGCAGGGAAGAAAAUGACGGUACCUGAUUAAGAAGCUCCGGCUAACUACGUGCCAGCAGCCGCGGUAAUACGUAGGGGGCCAGCGUUAUCCGGAUUUACUGGGUGUAAAGGGAGCGUAGACGGCAGCGUAAGUCUGUAGCGAAAUGCCGGGGCUUAACCGCGGAACUGCAAUGGAAACUGUGCAGCUAGAGUACAGGAGAGGUAAGUGGAAUUCCUAGUGUAGCGGUGAAAGGCGUAGAUAUUAGGAGGAACACCAGUGGCGAAGGCGGCUUACUGGACUGUAACUGACGUUGAGGCUCGAAAGCGUGGGGAGCAAACAGGAUUAGAUACCCGAGUAGUC